RNAcentral lists this ribosomal RNA (479 nucleotides) under uncultured bacterium. RNAcentral's name for it is "partial 16S ribosomal RNA". It matches the Rfam family "Bacterial small subunit ribosomal RNA", at positions 28 to 507 of the family's 1533-position model. The record is from RNAcentral.
GAUGAACGCUAGCGGGAGGCCUAACACAUGCAAGCCGAGCGGUAUUGUUUCUUCGGAAAUGAGAGAGCGGCGUACGGGUGCGUAACACGUGUGCAACCUGCCUUUAUCUGGGGGAUAGCCUUUCGAAAGGAAGAUUAAUACUCCAUAAUAUAUUGAACGGCAUCGUUUAAUAUUGAAAGCUCCGGCGGAUAGAGAUGGGCACGCGCAAGAUUAGCUAGUUGGUGAGGUAACGGCUCACCAAGGCGAUGAUCUUUAGGGGGCCUGAGAGGGUGAUCCCCCACACUGGUACUGAGACACGGACCAGGCUCCUACGGGAGGCAGCAGUGAGGAAUAUUGGUCAAUGGGUGCAAGCCUGAACCAGCCAUCCCGCGUGAAGGACGACUGCCCUAUGGGUUGUAAACUUCUUUUGUAUAGGGAUAAACCUACCCUCGAGAGGGUAGCUGAAGGUACUAUACGAAUAAGCACCGGCUAACUCCGUG